AGCAGCCGCGGUAAUUCCAGCUCCAAUAGCGUAUAUUAAAGUUGUUGCAGUUAAAAAGCUCGUAGUUGAAUUUCGGGAUUGGCGUGUCGGUCGUGCCUUAAGGGGUAUGAACUGGCGUCGUCGAUUUCUCACCUUCUGGAGAAUCACGAUGCCCUUAAUUGGGUGUCGUGUGGAACCAGGACCUUUACCUUGAAAAAUUAGAGUGUUUAAAGCAGGCAUUUUUGCUCGAAUACAUUAGCAUGGAAUAAUAAAAUAGGACGGUUUGGUUCUAUUUUGUUGGUUUCUAGGAUCACCGUAAUGAUUAAUAGGGAUAGUUGGGGGCAUUAGUAUUCAAUUGUCAGAGGUGAAAUUCUUGGAUUUAUUGAAGACUAACUACUGCGAAAGCGUUUGCCAAGGAUGUUUUCAUUAAUCAAGAACGAAAGUUAGGGGAUCGAAGACGAUCAGAUACCGUCGUAGUCUUAACCAUAAACUAUGCCGACUAGGAAUCAGACGAUGUAAUUUUUUAAUGACUCGUUUGGCA
RNAcentral lists this ribosomal RNA (520 nucleotides) under uncultured Glomeromycotina. RNAcentral describes it as "SSU rRNA". It matches the Rfam family "Eukaryotic small subunit ribosomal RNA", at positions 569 to 1085 of the family's 1831-position model. The record is from RNAcentral. Lineage: Eukaryota; Fungi; Glomeromycota.